UAGGGAAUCUUCGGCAAUGGACGAAAGUCUGACCGAGCAACGCCGCGUGUGUGAAGAAGGUUUUCGGAUCGUAAAACUCUGUUGUUAGAGAAGAACAAGGACGUUAGUAACUGAACGUCCCCUGACGGUAUCUAACCAGAAAGCCACGGCUAACUACGUGCCAGCAGACGCGGUAAUACGAAAGUGGCAAGCGUUGUCCGGAUUUAUUGGGCGUAAAGCGAGCGCAGGCGGUUUCUUAAGUCUGAUGUGAAAGCCCCCGGCUCAACCGGGGAGGGUCAUUGGAAACUGGGAGACUUGAGUGCAGAAGAGGAGAGUGGAAUUCCAUGUGUGGCGGUGAGAUGCGUAGAUAUAUGGAGGAACACCAGUGGCGAAGGAGGAUCUCUGGUCUGUAAAUGACGCUGAGGCUCAAAAGCGUGGUGAGCAAACAGG
RNAcentral lists this ribosomal RNA (429 nucleotides) under Gemmatimonadota bacterium. RNAcentral describes it as "Gemmatimonadetes bacterium partial 16S ribosomal RNA". It matches the Rfam family "Bacterial small subunit ribosomal RNA", at positions 355 to 776 of the family's 1533-position model. Lineage: Bacteria; Pseudomonadati; Gemmatimonadota. The record is from RNAcentral.